AGCAGCCGCGGUAAUUCCAGCUCCAAUAGCGUAUAUUAAAGUUGUUGCAGUUAAAAGCUCGUAGUUGAAUUUCGGGAUCGACGGGUUGGUCGCGCCUCUGGUGUGUACUGGCUCUGUCGGUUUCUCCCUUCUGAAGAACCGCGAUGUCAUUAAUUUGGUGUCGUGGGAAAUCAGGACUGUUACUUUGAAAAAUUGAGUGUUUAAAGCAGGCAUUCGCUUGAAUACAUUAGCAUGGAAUAAUGAAAUAGGACGUUUGAUCUUAUUUUGUUGGUUUCUAAGAUCGACGUAAUGAUUAGUAGGGAUAGUUGGGGGCAUUAGUAUUCAAUUGUCAGAGGUGAAA
This 340-nucleotide ribosomal RNA is filed under the name uncultured Glomeromycotina. RNAcentral describes it as "SSU rRNA". It matches the Rfam family "Eukaryotic small subunit ribosomal RNA", at positions 569 to 916 of the family's 1831-position model. The record is from RNAcentral. Lineage: Eukaryota; Fungi; Glomeromycota.